GCGUGUCACUCGCUCCCAAGGACCACGAGGCCAGGCUCCUCUCCGCAACGCUCCGAGUCGUGCAACCCAAUGGGCUUCAGUAGCUCUGGAAUUAAGCCACUGCGUUGAGAUAAGGGUAGCGCCACACUGGAAGUCUCCAUCGCGGUAUAGAGCUGCCUGCCAGGGCCAGGCGCCUGCCGCCGCUCCUCCACCACCUACCACCCUGCCCCACCGCACUCGCUCUUUUUCGUUUAUAAAUCAUUGCACAUGCAAGCAUCGACACAGGUUCUUGUAAUCGAACUUGGGACCUGCAUGUGCUUAAUUUGAAGGCAGAAAUUCGUGUUUCGAGUACAAUAAUUGUAUAAGUAAUAAAAUAGUUGAAACUACUAUGAAAUGUGACUUAAGUUCAAAAAGGAACUCUAAAUAAAUUUGCUGAUUAUAUUGAGUGUAUUAAAUAUA
Danaus plexippus (monarch butterfly) is the source of this 438-nucleotide long non-coding RNA. RefSeq lists it as uncharacterized. The record is from RefSeq and is a predicted model, not a curated record. The transcript has 3 exons. Lineage: Eukaryota; Metazoa; Arthropoda; Insecta; Lepidoptera; Nymphalidae.